RNAcentral lists this ribosomal RNA (268 nucleotides) under uncultured Acholeplasma sp. RNAcentral describes it as "partial 16S ribosomal RNA". It matches the Rfam family "Bacterial small subunit ribosomal RNA", at positions 1113 to 1382 of the family's 1533-position model. Lineage: Bacteria; Bacillati; Mycoplasmatota; Mollicutes; Acholeplasmatales; Acholeplasmataceae. The record is from RNAcentral.
AGUUGCCAUCAUUAGUUGGGCACUCUAAAGAGACUGCCGGUGGUCAAACCCGGAGGAAGGUGGGGAUGACGUCAAGUCCUCAUGGCCUUUAUGGCCUGGGCUACAAACGUGAUACAAUGGCUGAAACAAAGGGCAGCGAAGGAGCGAUCUGGAGCGAACCCAAAAAAGCAGUCUCAGUUCGGAUUGAAGUCUGCAACUCGACUUCAUGAAGUCGGAAUCGCUAGUAAUCGCGGAUCAGAACGCCGCGGUGAAUACGUUCCCAGGCCUU